GAUGAACGCUGACAGAAUGCUUAACACAUGCAAGUCUACUUGAAUUUGGGUUUUUUAACUUAGAUUUGGGUGGCGGACGGGUGAGUAACGCGUAAAGAACUUGCCUCACAGCUAGGGACAACAUUUGGAAACGAAUGCUAAUACCUGAUAUUAUGAUUUUAAGGCAUCUUAAAAUUAUGAAAGCUAUAUGCGCUGUGAGAGAGCUUUGCGUCCCAUUAGCUAGUUGGAGAGGUAACGGCUCACCAAGGCGAUGAUGGGUAGCCGGCCUGAGAGGGUGAACGGCCACAAGGGGACUGAGACACGGCCCUUACUCCUACGGGAGGCAGCAGUGGGGAAUAUUGGACAAUGGACCAAGAGUCUGAUCCAGCAAUUCUGUGCGCACGAUGACGUUUUUCGGAAUGUAAAGUGCUUUCAGUUGGGAAGAAAAAAAUGACGGUACCAACAGAAGAAG
This 451-nucleotide ribosomal RNA is filed under the name Fusobacterium sp. oral taxon 203. RNAcentral describes it as "bacterial SSU rRNA". It matches the Rfam family "Bacterial small subunit ribosomal RNA", at positions 28 to 490 of the family's 1533-position model. Lineage: Bacteria; Fusobacteriati; Fusobacteriota; Fusobacteriia; Fusobacteriales; Fusobacteriaceae. The record is from RNAcentral.